This 1498-nucleotide long non-coding RNA is filed under the name Otus sunia (Oriental scops-owl). Its description in RNAcentral is "lncRNA (ENSOSUG00000008910.1)". The record is from RNAcentral. Lineage: Eukaryota; Metazoa; Chordata; Aves; Strigiformes; Strigidae.
GAUACAUUACAGCUGUAGGGGAAAGAAAAAAAAAAAGGUUUAAAAAAAGUGCUUUCUUUUUCUUCUUGCUUACAUUAGCAGCACCUUUCCAUCUCACAACCCACCUAGGAAUGUCUUUGCGAACUGACACAACCCCAUGGAAGAUGCUUGCUUAGGACACCAGCCAGGCAGCUACACUCUACAGAACAAAUGCACACACAGAAACCAGGAACAGUGAGGGUGCUUGAAAACUGACAGAGAUAAAAGCAGGAACCACCUGCUGGAAUCCCCGAAGGGGAAGGAUUACAAACAGUGAGAAGCACAGUCGCACAGUGAGCACGAGCUGCUGGGCUGAAGUCCACAACAAGGUCAAUGAGUGCAGAGCACAAGGACCAUCAGUCUGAACCCAAAAAGUACUGCUGCCUUUGGGUUUUCAGCAGCACCUAUUACACUGGAUCCUUAGCUGCAGAAAAGGUAGAAAAUAACCACUGUAACACAGUUUUAAUAAUGAUAUAAACAUGACAAAGCCUUCAUCAACACAACUAUUUUUUUUUGAGAAAAUGUUUUCCUGACCUCUGUGAACUGGGCAAACAGCUGACACACAGUAUAUGGUUACAACAGGUAACAAAGCAAGCCAAGAGAGGAACACUGAAAAAUCACAAACUUCAAUCUCACCAGACCAGAGCAAGAGAAAACACAAGGCUCAGUUAAGCCUUCCAGAGCUUCGUGAGCUGUAACACUGGAAGAUCACUGCCCACUGUUACAUUCUUCAAGGACUUUCCCAGACAAUGUGCUUUACUCAGUAUAUUCUGUUCCCAAUGGUACUGACAGACAGUAUGAAUUGUUUCUUUAGCGAUAGCUGAACAUUUCAGAAUUACUGGGAGCAAGUAAUUUUUUAGAUGAUCAUCUGUGACUCAUCAAAUCCCAGGCAGCCAGAAACUUUUAAAAACUAAGAGAGAGUGGCAAGUCACUACAACACUGAAGUCUUGAGAGCCAGCAUGUUAGUAUAUCUCAUUCUGAAUGUUUUAAUAGUACAUCAUAUGAAGACUUUUAGAAGCAUUGAUAGAAUUACUAGCUUCAGGUGCACCAUCACUGUUUUAUACCUCAGCAAGGGGAGAAUCCCCAGAUGACAGCAGGAAGGUGGAAAAGAAACUUCAUUGAACCACCUUGCCUGUAGCUUCAGCUUAUGGAACCUCCACUCUUUUAAGUUACCCCAUUUGUUUCCAAGGUGCUUCCACUAGCUAGCUUAGAAUGACCCCACCUGGCAGAGACACGGAGUUCAUGAACAUCCUUAAAUCUCAGCCUCAGUAUUUUCUAACUGCAAACAAGGAAUGAACCUGAGUAACUGCUACAUGAGUGAUUCUCCAGGGAGAUCCUCCAGUGAGAGCCCCUCUCUCUCAUACCUGUUUUCAGAAGUUGGAAGCUGAACCUAAUAGUAAGAAGUCAAAAGGGCUUCAGGUGACAAAAUUCUUGCUCCAUCAUACCUUCCUCGGGGACUUUGUCUGUUCACAGGCCAUCA